UACGUAGGGUGCAAGCAUUAAUCGGAUUUAUUGGGCGUAAAGGGCGCGUAGGCGGAAAUGCCAGUCAGAUGUGAAGGCCCGGGGCUCAACCCCGGAACAGCAUUUGAAACUACAUUUCUAGAGGGUAGGCGGAGAAAACGGAAUUCCACAAGUAGCGGUGAAAUGCGUAGAUAUGUGGAAGAACACCAGUGGCGAAGGCGGUUUUCUAGCUUAUACCUGACGCUGAAGCGCGAAAGCAAGGGGAGCAAACAGG
This 253-nucleotide ribosomal RNA is filed under the name uncultured bacterium. RNAcentral's name for it is "partial 16S ribosomal RNA". It matches the Rfam family "Bacterial small subunit ribosomal RNA", at positions 524 to 776 of the family's 1533-position model. The record is from RNAcentral.